Molecule: ribosomal RNA, 240 nt
Filed under: uncultured bacterium
Lineage: Bacteria
Description: partial 16S ribosomal RNA
Rfam family: Bacterial small subunit ribosomal RNA
Source: RNAcentral
GAUCCUGGCUCAGGAUGAACGCUAGCGACAGGCCUAACACAUGCAAGUCGAGGGGCAGCGGGGAGGUAGCAAUACCUUUGCCGGCGACCGGCGCACGGGUGAGUAACACGUAUGCAAUCACCUGUAACAGGGGGAUAACCCGGAGAAAUCCGGACUAAUACCCCAUAAUAUGGGCGCUCCGCAUGGAGAGCCCAUUAAAGAGAGCAAUUUUGGUUACAGACGAGCAUGCGCUCCAGUUAG